Molecule: transfer RNA, 63 nt
Filed under: Schizopera knabeni
Lineage: Eukaryota; Metazoa; Arthropoda; Copepoda; Harpacticoida; Miraciidae
Description: tRNA-Asp
Source: RNAcentral
CGUAAAUUAGUUUAUAAUAAAACCCCUUUUUGUCAAGAAGGCGAAGCAUCCAUUGGUUUAAAG